Molecule: transfer RNA, 81 nt
Filed under: Juncus effusus
Lineage: Eukaryota; Viridiplantae; Streptophyta; Magnoliopsida; Poales; Juncaceae
Also listed under: 2 other names
Description: tRNA-Leu
Rfam family: tRNA
About the family: Transfer RNA (tRNA) molecules are approximately 80 nucleotides in length.
Source: RNAcentral
GCCGCCAUGGUGAAAUUGGUAGACACGCUGCUCUUAGGAAGCAGUGCUAAGCGCAUCUCGGUUCGAGUCCGAGUGGCGGCA